Molecule: ribosomal RNA, 113 nt
Filed under: Diaphorina citri (Asian citrus psyllid)
Lineage: Eukaryota; Metazoa; Arthropoda; Insecta; Hemiptera; Psyllidae
Source: RNAcentral
GCCAACGUUCAUAUCACGUUGAAUACACCAGUUCGAUCACUGAAGUUAAGCAACGUUGAGCGUGGAUAGUACUUGGAUGGGUGACCGCUUGGGAACACCACGUAACGUUGGCG